AACGAACGCUGGCGGCAGGCCUAACACAUGCAGGUCGAGCGAGGUAGCAAUACCUAGCGGCGGACGGGUGAGUAACGCGUGGGAACGUACCCUUUGCUACGGAAUAGCCCCGGGAAACUGGGAGUAAUACCGUAUGUGCCCUUCGGGGGAAAGAUUUAUCGGCAAAGGAUCGGCCCGCGUUGGAUUAGGUAGUUGGUGGGGUAAUGGCCUACCAAGCCGACGAUCCAUAGCUGGUUUGAGAGGAUGAUCAGCCACACUGGGACUGAGACACGGCCCAGACUCCUACGGGAGGCAGCAGUGGGGAAUCUUAGACAAUGGGCGCAAGCCUGAUCUAGCCAUGCCGCGUGAGUGAUGAAGGCCUUAGGGUUGUAAAGCUCUUUCAGGUGGGAAGAUAAUGACGGUACCAUCAGAAGAAGCCCGGCUAACUCCGUGCCAGCAGCCGCG
This 444-nucleotide ribosomal RNA is filed under the name uncultured bacterium. RNAcentral's name for it is "bacterial SSU rRNA". It matches the Rfam family "Bacterial small subunit ribosomal RNA", at positions 29 to 519 of the family's 1533-position model. The record is from RNAcentral.